UUUGAAUCUAUGCCGUUGAUUGUGUCUAAUUUUGUCUGCAACGUUUUAAAAUUUAACUAUUUUGGUUGAUAUAUUAAUCAGUUCUAAUCUUAAGAGAUAGUAAUGCAGUUCCUGACUUAGGAUAUGAUUCCUGCUUAACAUGUAAUUUGGUAUGAUUUUAGUAGAGGAGAUAUUGAUUUGUCUUUAUCUGUAUGUAUAUGACAAUCGUUAAGUUUCUUCUUCUCUCCCUAG
RNAcentral lists this unclassified non-coding RNA (231 nucleotides) under Hevea brasiliensis (rubber tree). The record is from RNAcentral. Lineage: Eukaryota; Viridiplantae; Streptophyta; Magnoliopsida; Malpighiales; Euphorbiaceae.